RNAcentral lists this ribosomal RNA (492 nucleotides) under uncultured bacterium. RNAcentral's name for it is "partial 16S ribosomal RNA". It matches the Rfam family "Bacterial small subunit ribosomal RNA", at positions 29 to 507 of the family's 1533-position model. The record is from RNAcentral.
AGUGAACGCUGGCGGUAGGCCUAACACAUGCAAGUCGAACGGCAGCACAGUAAGAGCUUGCUCUUACGGGUGGCGAGUGGCGGACGGGUGAGGAAUACAUCGGAAUCUACUUUUUCGUGGGGGAUAACGUAGGGAAACUUACGCUAAUACCGCAUACGACCUACGGGUGAAAGCAGGGGAUCUUCGGACCUUGCGCGAUUGAAUGAGCCGAUGUCGGAUUAGCUAAUUGGCGGGGUAAAGGCCCACCAAGGCGACGAUCCGUAGCUGGUCUGAGAGGAUGAUCCGCCACCCUGGAACUGAGACACGGUCCAGACUCCUACGGGAGGCAGCAGUGGGGAAUAUUGGACAAUGGGCGCAAGCCUGAUCCAGCCAUACCGCGUGGGUGAAGAAGGCCUUCGGGUUGUAAAGCCCUUUUGUUGGGAAAGAAAAGCAGCAGGUUAAUACCCCGCUGUUCUGACGGUACCCAAAGAAUAAGCACCGGCUAACUUCGUG